UACGUAGGGUGCGAGCGUUGUCCGGAAUUACUGGGCGUAAAGGGCUCGUAGGUGGCCAACUAAGUCAGACGUGAAAUCCCUCGGCUUAACCGGGGAACUGCGUCUGAUACUGGAUGGCUUGAGUUCGGGAGAGGGAUGCGGAAUUCCAGGUGUAGCGGUGAAAUGCGUAGAUAUCUGGAGGAACACCGGUGGCGAAGGCGGCAUCCUGGACCGAUACUGACACUGAGGAGCGAAAGCCAGGGGAGCAAACGGG
Molecule: ribosomal RNA, 253 nt
Filed under: uncultured bacterium
Lineage: Bacteria
Description: partial 16S ribosomal RNA
Rfam family: Bacterial small subunit ribosomal RNA
Source: RNAcentral